Molecule: transfer RNA, 90 nt
Filed under: Gammaproteobacteria bacterium
Lineage: Bacteria; Pseudomonadati; Pseudomonadota; Gammaproteobacteria
Description: tRNA-Ser
Rfam family: tRNA
About the family: Transfer RNA (tRNA) molecules are approximately 80 nucleotides in length. Their secondary structure includes four short double-helical elements and three loops (D, anti-codon, and T loops). Further hydrogen bonds mediate the characteristic L-shaped molecular structure. tRNAs have two regions of fundamental functional importance: the anti-codon, which is responsible for specific mRNA codon recognition, and the 3' end, to which the tRNAs corresponding amino acid is attached (by aminoacyl-tRNA synthetases). tRNAs cope with the degeneracy of the genetic code in two manners: having more than one tRNA (with a specific anti-codon) for a particular amino acid; and 'wobble' base-pairing, i.e. permitting non-standard base-pairing at the 3rd anti-codon position.
Source: RNAcentral
GGAGAGGUGGCGGAGUGGUUGAACGCACCGGUCUUGAAAACCGGCAAGGUCGAGAGACCUUCGAGGGUUCGAAUCCCUCCCUCUCCGCCA